GUGCUUGCUUCAGCACACAAAAUUGGAAUGAUAUAGGGAAGAUUAGUAUGGCCCCUGCUCAAGGAUGAGACACAAAUUUGUGAAGUGUUUCAUAUUAAA
RNAcentral lists this small nuclear RNA (99 nucleotides) under Propithecus coquereli (Coquerel's sifaka). The record is from RNAcentral. Lineage: Eukaryota; Metazoa; Chordata; Mammalia; Primates; Indriidae.